CCUACGGGAGGCAGCAGUGGGGAAUUUUGGACAAUGGGCGCAAGCCUGAUCCAGCAAUGCCGCGUGCAGGAUGAAGGCCUUCGGGUUGUAAACUGCUUUUGUACGGAACGAAACGGUCCUUUCUAAUAUAAGGGGCUAAUGACGGUACAGUAAGAAUAAGCACCGGCUAACUACGUGCCAGCAGCCGCGGUAAUACGUAGGGUGCGAGCGUUAAUCGGAAUUACUGGGCGUAAAGCGUGCGCAGGCGGUUAUAUAAGACAGAUGUGAAAUCCCCGGGCUCAACCUGGGACCUGCAUUUGUGACUGUAUAGCUAGAGUACGGUAGAGGGGGAUGGAAUUCCGCGUGUAGCAGUGAAAUGCGUAGAUAUGCGGAGGAACACCGAUGGCGAAGGCAAUCCCCUGGACCUGUACUGACGCUCAUGCACGAAAGCGUGGGGAGCGAACAGGAUUAGAUACCCUGGUAGUCCACGCCCUAAACGAUGUCAACUGGUUGUUGGGUCUUCACUGACUCAGUAACGAAGCUAACGCGUGAAGUUGACCGCCUGGGGAGUAACGGCCGCAAGGUUGAAACUUCAAAUGAAUUUGACGGCUUGGNGAGNGCGAGACGACGACGAGGGAGGAGG
RNAcentral lists this ribosomal RNA (622 nucleotides) under uncultured bacterium. RNAcentral describes it as "bacterial SSU rRNA". It matches the Rfam family "Bacterial small subunit ribosomal RNA", at positions 338 to 951 of the family's 1533-position model. The record is from RNAcentral.